GCUUGAGCAUGACGUUAACGCGUGUAUAAAUAACGCCCUCUUUCUUCGUCACAUCCUCUUUCCGUUGCUCUUCUCGCUUUGAGAAACUUCUCUUCACGAUGAGAGCCAAGUGGAGGAAGAAGCGUAUGCGCAGACUGAAGCGUAAAAGGAGGAAGAUGAGGCAGAGGUCGAAGUAAACCCUCAUCCCUGCCAGCUGUUAUCCCGUCUGAGCCUCUCCAGUUGACUGACUUCAUGGCUGAAGUGGAGCCUUCAUCAGUGGAUGAGACCUAAACCCUGAUUUGAGAUGACUUCUGUGGAAGUCUGACUGGAAUAGGCAAAGGCGCAGGACUAAACAUAAGAACUACAGCUGCUCCAUCACGGAUCAUAAUGCAUAUAUUGUUUACCAAUGCAUUGAACAAUAAACACUUUAAAAUGUA
This is a long non-coding RNA of Cyclopterus lumpus (lumpfish), 416 nucleotides long. RefSeq lists it as uncharacterized. Lineage: Eukaryota; Metazoa; Chordata; Actinopteri; Perciformes; Cyclopteridae. The record is from RefSeq and is a predicted model, not a curated record. The transcript has 4 exons.